This 334-nucleotide long non-coding RNA is filed under the name Vigna radiata. RNAcentral describes it as "long non-coding RNA (VRAD_LNC006090)". The record is from RNAcentral. Lineage: Eukaryota; Viridiplantae; Streptophyta; Magnoliopsida; Fabales; Fabaceae.
GCUGCAACAACGUUUAUGUAGAGCAUUUUUCUUUCUUGGGAAAAAGUGAGUCCGUGAUGGAUUAUGGAUGAAAUGAAGAAAUGGCAUUUUAAUUUGGAAAGUGCUUUCAUGAUUCACGGUGAAUGCAGAGCAUGAUGCAGGUCUUGGGUUCUUAAAUGCUAUUUUGUUUUUAUGAAUUUAAAAGUUUUUAGGUGAUGGGAUGUGACGUUGGUAGCCAUAGGGUAGCUAGUUUUUUUUUCUUUUCUUUUAUUUAGUUGAUAAAUAUUUGAUGGAAAGUGGUAGGUAUACGGUGCCAUGAUGCAGAGGAUGUGUCUACUUCAUUUACAAGAAUUUC